GAUGAACGCUGGCGGCGUGCCUAAUACAUGCAAGUCGAGCGAACAGACGAGGAGCUUGCUCCUCUGACGUUAGCGGCGGACGGGUGAGUAACACGUGGAUAACCUACCUAUAAGACUGGGAUAACUUCGGGAAACCGGAGCUAAUACCGGAUAAUAUAUUGAACCGCAUGGUUCAAUAGUGAAAGACGGUUUUGCUGUCACUUAUAGAUGGAUCCGCGCCGCAUUAGCUAGUUGGUAAGGUAACGGCUUACCAAGGCAACGAUGCGUAGCCGACCUGAGAGGGUGAUCGGCCACACUGUAACUGAGACACGGUCCAGACUCCUGCGGGAGGCAGCAGUAGGGAAUCUUCCGCAAUGGGCGAAAGCCUGACGGAGCAACACCGCGUGAGUGAUGAAGGUCUUCGGAUCGUAAAACUCUGUUAUUAGGGAAGAACAAAUGUGUAAGUAACUAUGCACGUCUUGACGGUACCUAAUCAGAAAGCCACGGCUAACUACGUG
Molecule: ribosomal RNA, 497 nt
Filed under: uncultured bacterium
Lineage: Bacteria
Description: partial 16S ribosomal RNA
Rfam family: Bacterial small subunit ribosomal RNA
Source: RNAcentral